This 515-nucleotide ribosomal RNA is filed under the name Beyeria vespa. Its description in RNAcentral is "partial 16S ribosomal RNA". It matches the Rfam family "Bacterial large subunit ribosomal RNA", at positions 1819 to 2600 of the family's 2925-position model. Lineage: Eukaryota; Metazoa; Arthropoda; Insecta; Coleoptera; Staphylinidae. The record is from RNAcentral.
GUCUUUUUGAUAAUAAUUUAAGGUCUAGCCUGCCCACUGAGUAUUUAAAUGGCCGCAGUAUUUUGACUGUGCAAAGGUAGCAUAAUCAUUAGUUUUUUAAUUAAGAACUGGAAUGAAAGGUUGAACGAGAAAAUAACUGUCUCUUUGUGAAUUAUUUAGAAUUUUAUUUUUAAGUUAAAAAGCUUAAGUAAUAUUAAAAGACGAGAAGACCCUAUAGAGUUUUAUAUAGUGAAAAUUAUUAUUAUAAUUAGUAAUGAUUUAAAUAUUGAUUUUUAUUAUAUUUGAUUGGGGAGAUUGAAAAAUUUAAUGAACUUUUUUUAUAAUAAAACAUUGAUUUAUGAUUUAUUGAUCCAUUAAUAGUGAUUAUAAGAUUUAAUUACCUUAGGGAUAACAGCGUUAUUUCUUUAGAGAGUUCUAAUCGAUAAAGGAGAUUGCGACCUCGAUGUUGGAUUAAAAUUAAGUUUUGGUGUAGAAGCUAAAAAAAUUUAGGUCUGUUCGACCUUUAAAAUUUUACA